UGACGAAGGGGGCUAGCGUUGCUCGGAAUUACUGGGCGUAAAGCGCGCGUAGGUGGUUCGUUAAGUUGGAUGUGAAAAUCCCCGGGCUCAACCUGGGGACUGCAUUCAAAACUGACGAGCUGAGAGUAUGGUAGAGGGUGGUGGAAUUUCCUGUAGUAGCGGUGAAAUGCGUAGAUAUAGGAAGGAACACCAGUGGCGAAGGCGAUCACCCUGGACUGAUACUGACACUGAGGUGACGGAAAGCGUGGGGAGCAAACAGG
This 260-nucleotide ribosomal RNA is filed under the name uncultured bacterium. RNAcentral describes it as "partial 16S ribosomal RNA". It matches the Rfam family "Bacterial small subunit ribosomal RNA", at positions 523 to 776 of the family's 1533-position model. The record is from RNAcentral.